Molecule: long non-coding RNA, 708 nt
Organism: Trachymyrmex cornetzi
Lineage: Eukaryota; Metazoa; Arthropoda; Insecta; Hymenoptera; Formicidae
Exons: 3
Source: RefSeq, a predicted model, not a curated record
UUAAGCUCAUGGGGGAAAUCUCUAUAUAGGAUUUAUUCGUAAAUUUAAUGAUCGCGCGCGUAAAGUAAUUCUGCCAGUCUGCAACGCAAUCCUGCUUGAGAAAGGAUCGAAAGGACCUCCUCCGGUAGCCCCUACUACCCGCUUUCCACGAUGCUGCGCGAGAUGAACGGAGGUCCUAUUUCCGGCCGAUAUUUAAAUCCGAGGGGGACCGAAUCCGCUCGACCUUAACCGAAGCGUUCGGGUCCGGCUGUCACAUUCGUGGCGUACCGAAUGCUCGUCUCUCGUGGCGGCGACGGCGGCGGCGUAACGCGUUAAUGAAAAUGGCAACGCGUCUCGACGCCAUGUGCCAGCCUCAACGGAAUACGUACGGCCGCAAAUUGCGCUGCUUUAUCAAUCUGAAAUAACAUCGGCGCGGAACAAUUAGCGACGACGCGAAACUUACGAGGACUUUAUCGACCAACGGAAGGAUCACGUUACGGUAUGGCUGGCAAAUAUUUUCAGUUUGCAAGCAGAGGAUAGCGAAAGCAUUAAUUCGCAAAGCAAAUCACAUAGCACACGCAGCAAUUUAGAAAUACACAGGGAACCUUCAAAAUAGUCCAAUGAAAAAUAUUUCUGAAAAAAAAAACAGUGCAUUUAGUCUGUUAAGUCUGCUGCAAAAUUGUGUUAAUAAAAGAACAUUGUGAUAAAGAAAUAUAUUUUUAGGAGAUA